GAAGAGGAAUAUUGUGUCAUGGAAUGUAGAGGGCACUGGAUUUAUAGUAUGGUCUCCUGCUGAUUUCUCAGAGCUCCUGCUGCCUAAAUAUUUCAAGCACAACAACUUCUCCAGCUUCAUUCGCCAACUUAAUACCUAUGGAUUCAAGAAAACAUCACCAAAACUGUGGGAAUUUAAGCAUGAAAAGUUCCAAAAGGGCUGCAGGCACAUGCUAGUUGAGAUCACCAGGAAGAAAUGCGAACCAAGUGCUUUUCCAGCGUAUCUGAAGGCUUCAGAAGAGAGUGGGAGCACAAGCACUGCACUGGCAGCAGCAGAAGAAAACAAUUGCCUGCUAUUAAUGGAGGAGAAUAAGAACCUGAGAAAACAGCAGUUGGAGCUGCAGGUGCAAAUAGCUCAGUUCAGAACACUGGAAAAUAAGCUGUUGGAUUGCGUAGCUCAGUACAUGGAUGACCAUCGGAACAAAGCUCGAUGCUGAUUGUUACCAUAACUGUUGAUUUGGUCGACACAAAUUGGUCAGGUUUUAUGGGAUAUGUAUUUUGGAUCUUGGGUAUCAUAUAAACAUGCUGCCUUUUUUCUGCAGUGUUUGCUAGCUUUUGGUAUCGGGGUUUUGUAAUUAUGAAAAUAAUCAUCAAGCUAAACCGAAUUCACGAGAAACUUUUUGGUGUGAUGGUCACAAUGCUAUGUCAAGUUACUAAUUUUGUCAUA
This is an RNA transcript of Pyrus x bretschneideri (Chinese white pear), 705 nucleotides long. RefSeq lists it as uncharacterized. Lineage: Eukaryota; Viridiplantae; Streptophyta; Magnoliopsida; Rosales; Rosaceae. The record is from RefSeq and is a predicted model, not a curated record. The transcript has 2 exons.